GACGAACGCUGGCGGCGUGCUUAACACAUGCAAGUCGAACGGAAAGGCCCUGCUUUUGUGGGGUGCUCGAGUGGCGAACGGGUGAGUAACACGUGAGUAACCUGCCCUUGACUUUGGGAUAACUUCAGGAAACUGGGGCUAAUACCGGAUAGGAGCUCCUGCUGCAUGGUGGGGGUUGGAAAGUUUCGGCGGUUGGGGAUGGACUCGCGGCUUAUCAGCUUGUUGGUGGGGUAGUGGCUUACCAAGGCUUUGACGGGUAGCCGGCCUGAGAGGGUGACCGGCCACAUUGGGACUGAGAUACGGCCCAGACUCCUACGGGAGGCAGCAGUGGGGAAUAUUGCACAAUGGGCGGAAGCCUGAUGCUGCAACGCCGCGUGCGGGAUGACGGCCUUCGGGUUGUAAACCGCUUUCGCCUGUGACGAAGCGUGAGUGACGGUAAUGGGUAAAGAAGCACCGGCUAACUACGUGCCAGCAGCCGCGGUGAUACGUAGGGUGCGAGCGUUGUCCGGAUUUAUUGGGCGUAAAGGGCUCGUAGGUGGUUGAUCGCGUCGGAAGUGUAAUCUUGGGGCUUAACCCUGAGCGUGCUUUCGAUACGGGUUGACUUGAGGAAGGUAGGGGAGAAUGGAAUUCCUGGUGGAGCGGUGGAAUGCGCAGACAUCAGGAGGAACACCAGUGGCGAAGGCGGUUCUCUGGGCCUUUCCUGACGCUGAGGAGCGAAAGCGUGGGGAGCGAACAGGCUUAGAUACCCUGGUAGUCCACGCUGUAAACGGUGGGUACUAGGUGUGGGGUCCAUUCCACGGGUUCCGUGCCGUAGCUAACGCUUUAAGUACCCCGCCUGGGGAGUACGGCCGCAAGGCUAAAACUCAAAGGAAUUGACGGGGCCCCGCACAAGCGGCGGAGCAUGCGGAUUAAUUCGAUGCAACGCGUAGAACCUUACCUGGGUUUGACAUGGAUCGGGAGCGCUCAGAGAUGGGUGUGCCUCUUUUGGGGUCGGUUCACAGGUGGUGCAUGGCUGUCGUCAGCUCGUGUCGUGAGAUGUUGGGUUAAGUCCCGCAACGAGCGCAACCCUUGUUCACUGUUGCCAGCACGUUAUGGUGGGGACUCAGUGGAGACCGCCGGGGUCAACUCGGAGGAAGGUGGGGAUGACGUCAAGUCAUCAUGCCCCUUAUGUCCAGGGCUUCACGCAUGCUACAAUGGCUGGUACAGAGAGUGGCGAGCCUGUGAGGGUGAGCGAAUCUCGGAAAGCCGGUCUCAGUUCGGAUUGGGGUCUGCAACUCGACCUCAUGAAGUCGGAGUCGCUAGUAAUCGCAGAUCAGCAACGCUGCGGUGAAUACGUUCCCGGG
RNAcentral lists this ribosomal RNA (1343 nucleotides) under uncultured bacterium. RNAcentral describes it as "16S ribosomal RNA". It matches the Rfam family "Bacterial small subunit ribosomal RNA", at positions 28 to 1378 of the family's 1533-position model. The record is from RNAcentral.